This 2900-nucleotide ribosomal RNA is filed under the name Klebsiella pneumoniae. RNAcentral's name for it is "bacterial LSU rRNA". It matches the Rfam family "Bacterial large subunit ribosomal RNA". Lineage: Bacteria; Pseudomonadati; Pseudomonadota; Gammaproteobacteria; Enterobacterales; Enterobacteriaceae. The record is from RNAcentral.
UUAAGCGACUAAGCGUACACGGUGGAUGCCCUGGCAGUCAGAGGCGAUGAAGGACGUGCUAAUCUGCGAAAAGCGUCGGUAAGGUGAUAUGAACCGUUACAGCCGGCGAUGUCCGAAUGGGGAAACCCAGUGCAAUUCGUUGCACUAUCGUUAACUGAAUACAUAGGUUAACGAGGCGAACCGGGGGAACUGAAACAUCUAAGUACCCCGAGGAAAAGAAAUCAACCGAGAUUCCCCCAGUAGCGGCGAGCGAACGGGGAGCAGCCCAGAGUCUGAAUCAGCUUGUGUGUUAGUGGAACGGUCUGGAAAGUCCGACGGUACAGGGUGAUAGUCCCGUACACCAAAAUGCACAGGCUGUGAACUCGAAGAGUAGGGCGGGACACGUGGUAUCCUGUCUGAAUAUGGGGGGACCAUCCUCCAAGGCUAAAUACUCCUGACUGACCGAUAGUGAACCAGUACCGUGAGGGAAAGGCGAAAAGAACCCCGGCGAGGGGAGUGAAAAAGAACCUGAAACCGUGUACGUACAAGCAGUGGGAGCACCUUCGGGUGUGACUGCGUACCUUUUGUAUAAUGGGUCAGCGACUUAUAUUCUGUAGCAAGGUUAACCGUAUAGGGGAGCCGCAGGGAAACCGAGUCUUAACUGGGCGUUAAGUUGCAGGGUAUAGACCCGAAACCCGGUGAUCUAGCCAUGGGCAGGUUGAAGGUUGGGUAACACUAACUGGAGGACCGAACCGACUAAUGUUGAAAAAUUAGCGGAUGACUUGUGGCUGGGGGUGAAAGGCCAAUCAAACCGGGAGAUAGCUGGUUCUCCCCGAAAGCUAUUUAGGUAGCGCCUCGUGAACUCAUCUUCGGGGGUAGAGCACUGUUUCGGCUAGGGGGUCAUCCCGACUUACCAACCCGAUGCAAACUACGAAUACCGAAGAAUGUUAUCACGGGAGACACACGGCGGGUGCUAACGUCCGUCGUGAAGAGGGAAACAACCCAGACCGCCAGCUAAGGUCCCAAAGUCAUGGUUAAGUGGGAAACGAUGUGGGAAGGCACAGACAGCCAGGAUGUUGGCUUAGAAGCAGCCAUCAUUUAAAGAAAGCGUAAUAGCUCACUGGUCGAGUCGGCCUGCGCGGAAGAUGUAACGGGGCUAAACCAUGCACCGAAGCUGCGGCAGCGACACUAUGUGUUGUUGGGUAGGGGAGCGUUCUGUAAGCCUGCGAAGGUGACCUGUGAGGGUUGCUGGAGGUAUCAGAAGUGCGAAUGCUGACAUAAGUAACGAUAAAGCGGGUGAAAAGCCCGCUCGCCGGAAGACCAAGGGUUCCUGUCCAACGUUAAUCGGGGCAGGGUGAGUCGACCCCUAAGGCGAGGCCGAAAGGCGUAGUCGAUGGGAAACAGGUUAAUAUUCCUGUACUUGGUGUUACUGCGAAGGGGGGACGGAGAAGGCUAUGUUAGCCGGGCGACGGUUGUCCCGGUUUAAGCAUGUAGGCUGGUUAUCCAGGCAAAUCCGGAUAAUCAAGGCUGAGGUGUGAUGACGAGGUACUACGGUGCUGAAGUAACAAAUGCCCUGCUUCCAGGAAAAGCCUCUAAGCAUCAGGUAACAUUAAAUCGUACCCCAAACCGACACAGGUGGUCAGGUAGAGAAUACCAAGGCGCUUGAGAGAACUCGGGUGAAGGAACUAGGCAAAAUGGUGCCGUAACUUCGGGAGAAGGCACGCUGGUGUGUAGGUGAAGUCCCUGCGGAUGGAGCUGAGACCAGUCGAAGAUACCAGCUGGCUGCAACUGUUUAUUAAAAACACAGCACUGUGCAAACACGAAAGUGGACGUAUACGGUGUGACGCCUGCCCGGUGCCGGAAGGUUAAUUGAUGGGGUUAUCCGUAAGGAGAAGCUCUUGAUCGAAGCCCCGGUAAACGGCGGCCGUAACUAUAACGGUCCUAAGGUAGCGAAAUUCCUUGUCGGGUAAGUUCCGACCUGCACGAAUGGCGUAAUGAUGGCCAGGCUGUCUCCACCCGAGACUCAGUGAAAUUGAACUCGCUGUGAAGAUGCAGUGUACCCGCGGCAAGACGGAAAGACCCCGUGAACCUUUACUAUAGCUUGACACUGAACAUUGAGCCUUGAUGUGUAGGAUAGGUGGGAGGCUUUGAAGCGUGGACGCCAGUCUGCGUGGAGCCAACCUUGAAAUACCACCCUUUAAUGUUUGAUGUUCUAACGUUGGCCCCUGACCGGGGUUGCGGACAGUGUCUGGUGGGUAGUUUGACUGGGGCGGUCUCCUCCCAAAGCGUAACGGAGGAGCACGAAGGUUAGCUAAUCCUGGUCGGACAUCAGGAGGUUAGUGCAAUGGCAUAAGCUAGCUUGACUGCGAGCGUGACGGCGCGAGCAGGUGCGAAAGCAGGUCAUAGUGAUCCGGUGGUUCUGAAUGGAAGGGCCAUCGCUCAACGGAUAAAAGGUACUCCGGGGAUAACAGGCUGAUACCGCCCAAGAGUUCAUAUCGACGGCGGUGUUUGGCACCUCGAUGUCGGCUCAUCACAUCCUGGGGCUGAAGUAGGUCCCAAGGGUAUGGCUGUUCGCCAUUUAAAGUGGUACGCGAGCUGGGUUUAGAACGUCGUGAGACAGUUCGGUCCCUAUCUGCCGUGGGCGCUGGAGAAUUGAGGGGGGCUGCUCCUAGUACGAGAGGACCGGAGUGGACGCAUCACUGGUGUUCGGGUUGUCAUGCCAAUGGCACUGCCCGGUAGCUAAAUGCGGAAGAGAUAAGUGCUGAAAGCAUCUAAGCACGAAACUUGCCCCGAGAUGAGUUCUCCCUGAGACUUUAAGUCUCCUGAAGGAACGUUAAAGACGAUGACGUUGAUAGGCCGGGUGUGUAAGCGCAGCGAUGCGUUGAGCUAACCGGUACUAAUGAACCGUGAGGCUUAACCUU